UAUUAACUUUAUUCAGGAACUUCAAGAUUACGAGAAAAACGGUGAUGUGAAACUGCAUCUGGCGUUCUCACGAGAUCAAGCGCAUAAGGUGUAUGUCACUCAUCUUCUGGAGCAAAACAUGGAUCAAAUUUGGGAUAUCCUUGGCAACCGGAACGGGCAUUUCUAUAUUUGCGGUGACGCAAAGAACAUGGCUGUGGAUGUGCGGAACAUAAUACUGAAGACUGUACAAGUGAAAGGCGGCCGCACCGAGGAGGAGGCAGUGCAAUUCCUCAAGAAGCUCGAGUCCAUGAAGAAAUAUUCUGCAGACGUGUGGAGUUAAUUCCGGAUUUUAAUUUAGUUAAUUUGUCAAAAUGUAGACAAUUGUUAAUUAUUUAAUGAAAUAUUAAUAUUAUGUCGUGUAUGUCGCAAGUUUUGGGUACAACUAUUCCAUUCCAAACAAAAAAAAGGAAAUGUACAUUAUAAUUUUGUAGCCACCAUCGCGUUUGCGAUUGUGUCGUAUUCUUGACGUAGUCUACAGGGCUAUAUUUGUUACAAUAUGUAAAUAGUUCUUGAA
Molecule: long non-coding RNA, 553 nt
Organism: Hyposmocoma kahamanoa
Lineage: Eukaryota; Metazoa; Arthropoda; Insecta; Lepidoptera; Cosmopterigidae
Exons: 2
Source: RefSeq, a predicted model, not a curated record